GACGAACGCUGGCGGCGUGCUUAACACAUGCAAGUCGAACGGGUCUGCCCUGUUUUUUGCGGGGUGGGUCAGUGGCGAACGGGUGAGUAACACGUGAGUAACCUGCCCCUCACUUCUGGAUAACCGCUUGAAAGGGUGGCUAAUACGGGGUGUUCUGGCUGUGCCGCAUGGUGUGGCUGGGAAAGAUUCACUUUUGUGGUGUUUUGGUGGGGGAUGGGCUCGCGGCCUAUCAGCUUGUUGGUGGGGUGAUGGCCUGCAAAGGCUUUGACGGGUAGCCGGCCUGAGAGGGUGGGCGGUCACACUGGGACUGAGAUACGGCCCAGACUCCUGCGGGAGGCAGCAGUGGGGGGUAUUGCACAAUGGGCGGAAGCCUGAUGCAGCGACGUCGCGUGAGGGAUGGAGGCCUUCGGGUUGUGAACCUCUUUCGCCGGUGAAGAAGGUCCUGCUCUUUGUGGUGGGGUUGACGGUAGCCGGGUUAUGAAGCGCCGGCUAACUACGUG
This 500-nucleotide ribosomal RNA is filed under the name uncultured bacterium. RNAcentral describes it as "partial 16S ribosomal RNA". It matches the Rfam family "Bacterial small subunit ribosomal RNA", at positions 28 to 507 of the family's 1533-position model. The record is from RNAcentral.